UCUCCGUAGGUGAACCUGCGGAGGGAUCAUUACUGAGUGAGGGUUUAACCGCCCGACCUCCAACCCUUUGUGAAUCGUACUCGUUGCUUCGGGGGCGACCCUGCCGUCCGCGGCUGAGCGCCCCCGGUGGCCAAUUAUUAAACUCUGCAUCUCUUGCGUCGGAGUCUUAAAGAAAUUUAAACAAAACUUUCAACAACGGAUCUCUUGGUUCUGGCAUCGAUGAAGAACGCAGC
Molecule: unclassified non-coding RNA, 233 nt
Filed under: uncultured fungus
Lineage: Eukaryota; Fungi
Description: sequence contains ITS1, 5.8S rRNA gene
Rfam family: 5.8S ribosomal RNA (bases 185-233)
Source: RNAcentral